CUUGAUAUAUUAUGAGUAGUAUGAUAGUAUAUUAUAUUAAUAUAUUGUAAUAACUUCUCAUUUUAUUCAAUUAGGUCAAAUUAAUGACUUGGGGAAAGCACAUAAACGUUAUUUAUUUUCCCUUAAAUAGAUCUGGAAUACAGCAUCCCUACUUAAGAGAUUUAAGAAUUACCCUCAGAAGCUAUUUAUAUAGAGAGAUUUUUAUCAUUCUAGCAUGCUUUCAAUGAAAUAAUUAAUAAGGAUUAACAUCUAAAAAGUAUAAGAGUGGAAAUGACAGCAAUUUGCUAAUUUUUAAAUUCUGUAAUUUAAUAAUGAUGUUCAAAGAAAGGAAUAAAAUGCUCUAGUCUCAAAAGUGUAGCCAGUCAUGACCUCCCUAAAAUUUCCAAGAGAUCAACUCUUCCUGCUCACCCGCCGACCCACUCACCCCCUUCCACUUCCAUGUCUGGAACCAUCAUCUUGAGUAAAUAAAGAACAGAGGGAAGAAAAGUCAAGAAUGAGGGCCUUGGCAUAGGACAAGGAACCAUGCAAUCUUAUCUUGAAAAUUCCAUCAAAAUAGACUGGGGAUCUCUGUGGUCAUCAGUGUGCAGCGUAGUUACAGGAUUGAGGUUUCUUUAAUCAUUUCAUAGUCAUCCGAGGAGGGGUUUACUGGUGAGAGGUGUUUUAAAGCAGUUUGGUCUCUCUUUUGAUACUAGGUACUCUGUCAGACUCAUCCAUGUCAGUGUAUGUGCUUUAUAUUUUCCUUCGGAAUCUUACGUUUUCCUGAUGAUUUUUUUCAGCGUUGAUUUGUUCUGAAAAUAAACGCAUCCUCCUGGGUCCAGUGCUUUAGAGAAUCAGCAUGGAGCUCAUAGAAAAAGAGAACUUUCCUGUCUUCUGCCUUCUACUCUUCUAUGAGUGUUCAAUGGUAAAUGUAAAGUGGUGGGAAUUCAGUGCGUCUGCCACAUGCGAGCAGUUACCUGGAGGGGGAGCAGGUAGAGGAAGACGCCGGAAAGAGCACUGGGAAAUGUGGGGAGAGCCUAGACAAAUUUUGUGGGCCAAAGAGAAUUCUGGUGGUUGACGUGUUUUCUCAAACGAUUUUAAAAGUUAAUUCACAUUGCUCCUGGGAGUAAAUUCUACCCUCGUUUCAUCUCCUCCUCAGAUGUCUUAAAAAUUAUUUUUCUUUCUUCCCCUGUCACUGAUCUGUGAUGAAGCAAUAGUAAGGCUUUUAUGAUUUUACGAAUAAUGUGGUAACGAUAGGAACUAAGGUUGUUUUUACAUUUCUGGUUUUAAAAAGCAAGUAAGUUAUUUCAACACAGAGGACUUACUUUAAAAUAAUAAUUGAAAAAACCUUAUAUCUGGGAUAUGCCACAUUUGAUUAAAAAUCUUAGCCUGUAAAUAAAAAUCUGGUCCAUUUAAAUGUAUCUUGCUUAGAGGCGCAUGCCUUCAAAUGGGGCUGUUUUGUAGUUCACCUUGUAUUUCACUGCUUGCGAACUCUGUGAGCAAACAGUUUGUUCACAGGGUGAAACACAUAUUUAUGGUCCUGAAUAAACUGCUCAGAUUCAAAAACUAUUUGUGUGACAGUGCUAGACACAGGAAUUCUGAAGCCAAAUGGGAUGUUUGUAGCCUCCAUUUGCAUAUCAAUGCCCAGGCUCCCCUUUAGGAAUACUGCUGCUUCAUGACAAUGCUGUUGUCUGAGGUCUGGGGGAAAGAAAACCCAUAAAAGUUGGGACUCACUUUUCAAUGCCCUCGAUUCUUUUCUUGUGCUUUGGAAAACUGUGAAACAGGGUCACCAAGUUCCAUUCUGCAUAGUUUUAUUAUGUUUUCAAUGAAGCGAUUGAACCUGCACAGAACCCAGACGGACAGACAUCACAAGGCCACUUUGUGGAAAGGCAGCCUAGCUUCUUUAGAACGUUGACGCUGAAGCUCCUCUCCUGUGUUUCAGGGGUUUGGGGCCGGUGCACUGCUCCCUUAGUUUAAAGAACCAAAACCCUUAGGCAAAAUACUUAGAACCCUUUUGCCUGGAGAAAAAGUACAAAAUAAAGGGUUCUUUCAGCUAUAGAAAACCCAACCUAAGAAUGUAAUAGUUAUUUGAAAACCAGGCCAUGGAUACUGAGGAAUUUUAUAAGGCGAUCUCAUUUUCUACCUGGCUGCCAACCCGAUGCCUGUCAGUCCUUAUGUUUGAAAUGGAAUCACACAGAAUCUGUUCACAGUUUUGCUGAAGUUUGGUUUGGAGAAAGUUAUUUCUUACUUUUUUUCUGUCUGACAACCCUGUUGUCUUCUUGAUGGGAAUUUUAGUAGAAAGUUUUACCUUAUAUUUUAGAAUGAGGUCGAUUUAGUUAAUUGCAAAGCUCUAAAGAAACAUAGAUAAAAAGAAGGGGUGUUUCCGUAUUAUCGCCUUUACCACUAUGGCACAUUUGAGAACACCCUGUGAGAGACCUCACGUGUCAAGCUCAGCAGUCUCUCUUCUUCGCAGUUUGACUUGUGAUAUGUUUUUCCACACGACUACACUGUAUUGUGUUGUAAAAAAUUCUUUUUCAAACCCACUCCCUUUUAACUACCACGCGUAUUGUUUUGCUUUUCGGUUUUGUCAUUAAUUUACUCUUUCUAUGUAAUCCAGACAUAGUUCUCCUGAAUAUUCUUUCAUAGCUGUCUCAAGAAUGACUUACACCCGAUAAAAUUGCUUUGAAUGUAGGUAGUGCUGGGUUAACAGUAUUUCAAUUGCUUUGUGCAGAGCUCUGAACAAUUUCCUGAUUCACCGCCUGUUAACUAUCUUCCUCCUUCUUCUCAGCUUCCGAGGAAGAAAACCAAAAGUCUAUUUGAUGAAAGAAGCUCUUCUGAUCAUUGGUCACUUGGUGAUCUGGUACUAAAGCAAUGUCAUCGCCCUUGUGGAGAACAUCAGUGGCUUCACUAUCCUUGAUUUUUACAUAAAAUUGCUAUUACAGACCCUUUUCUGUUUUCUUAUAUUCUUGUCUGGUAUCGCCCUGCUCUUCCACCGCCUCCCAAAUUGUACCUACAACCCUAUUCCUUUCUUUCUAAUUUGGUUUUCUCAGUGUUUUCAACUGCCUUUAGGUCUUCACUACUAUAAUUAUGUAGAUAACUCCAAAAAUGACCCGAAUUCCAUUUCAAUAGCUAAGUCCUCCAUUUCAUAUUUCCAUUUGUAGCUAUACUUAUUACAAACUUGAUAAGUCUAAAACUAAAUACUGUAGAUUAUUUUCCUGUGGUGGUUUUAUUUUCCUAUGUCCAAAAAUUCGUUGGCACUCUUCUCUUCAAAAGAAUGUGUGCUGAGUUUAAUAAUCCCUUCUAAUGAAUAGAAUGUGGUAGAAGUGACGUGUGACUUCUGAGGCUACAUCAUAAAAGGCUUCUUUGUCACUCACUCCGGGAGAAACUAGCCACCAUGAUGUGAGGACAGUCUUUAUACACCAUGUGGAGAGGAGCGUGCCGGCCAUGUGUAUCUUGGAAAUGGGUCUUCCAGCUUCAGUCAAGCCUUUAGAUGGCAGCCGCAGCUGACGUCUGUCUGACUGACUGCAACCACAUGGGAGACCCUGAGCCAGAAUCACCAAGCUAAAUUGUACAUGAGUUUCCAGCUUACAGAAACGAAGGAAAACUCAAACUCAGGGGCUCAAGGACAUGUCAAAGGCACAGACAUAUGUUCCUGCAUUGAUCAAAUCAGGCUGUGCAGGUGGUUCGCUGCUCUGUGCAGGACCAGCACAGCACUCGUAUCUAGUGGGUGUCUGAUAAAUACAUGCUGCUCGCCAGAAGGAACAUCAAGAGUAGAAGCCCAUUGCUCUCUGGUGACUUUUGUUUUCUUUCAGAAUGCAUAAACAGGGGGCCUGCUCUCCACGUGUAAACUGAUCUGGUGCAAUUCAGAUAGAAUAUAUUCUAGGACUGGUGCCUUCUUCAACUCAUGCAAAUAAAAGUGCAGCAUGGUCCAAAGUACUGGAGUCAUGAGAAGUUCAGCUAAGGAUGAUCAUCCUAACCUUCCUGGCCUGGGGCUGAUCAGAAUGUUUCCAAAGAAAAGUGAGGAGCAGAGACAAGCAAAUAAACAACGCUUCUUCUCUGGAGACAUUUAUUGGAAAGGAGAAAAGGAAAAGAUGAGCUGAGGUUUAGACAAAUCUCAGAAAACAAGAGAAAAAAGAUUUAUUUAAUAAUGUAGUAAGGAUCAAUCACAGACGUUACGGAAUGGAAGGCAGAUGUAGAGGUCACUGUUUACGCAAGUUUUACCUGACCUGUUCCACACUAAUCCGUCUCUAUCUCAUUUCUAAUAAUCUCCAGGGAUGGAUAUUUCAGACCCUCUUUCAGUAAAAUGUUUCAGUGCUUCAGAACUAUGUGGCUAUUAGGAAGAACACUGCUUUGAACUUUCUUGUAUAUGUUUCUUGAAACACACGUGCACGAGAUUGCAAAGGAGUGGAAUUCUAAGGUCAUGGAAUAUGUUCAUAUAGCUAAAGCAUGCUAUAUAUUUGAGUUUACAGCUUCAGGGACCUCUUAAGAAGAGAGAAGUGGACUGGUGCAGGUGUCAGAGCAAGAUCAAAGGACAACAGGCCAUCUUGAAGAAAAUAAAACAGGACAAAAACAAUCUGGAACUGAGUAUUCAAGUGCUUUGAGAGUGACACCUAUUUCAAUGAAAGUCUUCCACGAAUUUGUGAUCCACAUUUUAUAAAAGCUUACAAGUACACUUGUAUAUUAAAAAUAAUCGGUUAUCCAUCAGGACAUUUUAAACAAUACAAAAAUCACUAUAGUACAUAAGGAGUGUUGUGCCGAGAUCUAUUUUCCAGAGAUGUAGCUCGUUUGUGAGAAAUAUUACCAGUGGGUGAAAUUUAUCCUUGAGGAGACGAAGAUGAACCAAAACCUUGUUCCUGCAGCUUACACUUCAGAGGGGAAACUGAUAUUACGCAGCUAAUCAAAUUAAUGAAUGUGUAAUUUAAAAUAUGGUAUGUUCAAAGAAAAUAAAAGAAGUCAAUCCUGGAAAAGUAUAUAGUAGACAAACUUGACCUAAUUUGGAGAAGUGAAGGAAAUGAUCUUUCCCAUGUGAUCAGAGGAUUGAGUACGGGUUAACCAGGUGAAGGUGGAGAGCAAGAAGAGAAUCCUAUAUUGAGAGACCGGCACAUGUAAAAUCCUUGUGAAGCAAGGAAGCUUGGAAAGAAGGCCAGAGAGACUGGAGAAGAGAGA
Molecule: non-coding RNA, 5142 nt
Organism: Equus caballus (horse)
Lineage: Eukaryota; Metazoa; Chordata; Mammalia; Perissodactyla; Equidae
Source: RefSeq, a predicted model, not a curated record